GUCAGGAUGGCUGAGUGGUCUAAGGCGCUAGGCUCAAGUUCUAGUCCUUGUAAAAGGGCAUGGGUUCAAAUCCCACUUCUGACA
Non-coding RNA from Ipomoea triloba (trilobed morning glory), 84 nucleotides. The record is from the annotation of a RefSeq genome assembly. NCBI's taxonomy places the organism in Eukaryota, Viridiplantae, Streptophyta, Magnoliopsida, Solanales, Convolvulaceae.